RNAcentral lists this ribosomal RNA (257 nucleotides) under uncultured Peptoniphilus sp. Its description in RNAcentral is "partial 16S ribosomal RNA". It matches the Rfam family "Bacterial small subunit ribosomal RNA", at positions 99 to 355 of the family's 1533-position model. Lineage: Bacteria; Bacillati; Bacillota; Tissierellia; Tissierellales; Peptoniphilaceae. The record is from RNAcentral.
CGGACGGGUGAGUAACACGUGAGUAACCUGCCUUAGACAUUGGGAUAGCCUCGGGAAACCGGGAUUAAUACCAAAUGAAAUCACAUAUGCACAUGCAUAAAUGAUCAAAGCUCCGGCGGUCUAAGAUGGACUCGCGUCCCAUUAGCUAGUUGGUGAGGUAACGGCCCACCAAGGCAAUGAUGGGUAGCCGGGUUGAGAGACCGACCGGCCAGAUUGGGACUGAGACACGGCCCAGACUCCUACGGGAGGCAGCAGCU